CCUACGGGGGGCAGCAGUGGGGAAUAUUGGGCAAUGGAGGAAACCCUGACCCAGCAACGCCGCGUGAAUGAUGAAGGCCUUCGGAUUGUAAAGUUCUUUUCUACGGGAAGAAGAAAGUGACGGUACCUUAGGUAUAAGCUUCGGCUCACUACGGGCCAGCAGCCGGCGGAAUACGUAGGAGGCGAGCGUUAUCCGGAAUGACUGGGCGUAAAGGGUGCGGUGGUGGUAUGGUAAGGUAGUAGCGAAACUCCAGGGCUCAACCUUGGAACGACUGCUAAAACUGUGGGACUUGAGUGCAGGAGAGGCAUGCGGAAUUCGUGGUGUAGCGGUGGAAUGCAUAGAUAUUAGGAAGAACACC
Molecule: ribosomal RNA, 358 nt
Filed under: uncultured bacterium
Lineage: Bacteria
Description: partial 16S ribosomal RNA
Rfam family: Bacterial small subunit ribosomal RNA
Source: RNAcentral